AUGGCGGCCGCGGAGCCACCCACUCUCCCGCCCCCUGGCGAGCACGUGACGCCGACGCCCGUGGUGGGCGGGGCGGAAGAGUGGAAGCAACAGACAGUGGAUCUGGAGUUGAAGAAGGCCUUCACAGAACUUCAAGCCAAAGUUAUUGACACUCAACAGAAGGUGAAGCUUGCAGACAUACAGAUUGAACAGCUAAACAGAACAAAAAAGCAUGCGCAUCUUACAGAUACAGAGAUUAUGACUUUGGUAGAUGAAACUAACAUGUAUGAAGGUGUAGGAAGAAUGUUUAUUCUUCAAUCCAAGGAGGUAAUUCACAAUCAGUUGUUAGAGAAACAGAAAAUAGCAGAAGAAAAAAUUAAAGAACUAGAGCAGAAAAAGUCCUACCUGGAGCGGAGCGUUAAGGAAGCUGAGGACAACAUCCGGGAGAUGCUGAUGGCACAAAAGGCACAAUAGGAGCUUCUAGGUGAAGCUCUUCUUUCCUCCUGACUUCUCUCAUCCUUGCAAAAGCUGAGGGGCCUGCGCAGGGUAACAGCCCCUCA
Non-coding RNA from Castor canadensis (American beaver), 539 nucleotides. NCBI's taxonomy places the organism in Eukaryota, Metazoa, Chordata, Mammalia, Rodentia, Castoridae. The record is from RefSeq and is a predicted model, not a curated record.